This 253-nucleotide ribosomal RNA is filed under the name uncultured bacterium. RNAcentral describes it as "partial 16S ribosomal RNA". It matches the Rfam family "Bacterial small subunit ribosomal RNA", at positions 524 to 776 of the family's 1533-position model. The record is from RNAcentral.
UACGUAGGGUGCAAGCGUUAAUCGGAAUUACUGGGCGUAAAGCGUGCGCAGGCGGUUUUGUAAGUCUGUCGUGAAAUCCCCGGGCUCAACCUGGGAAUGGCGAUGGAGACUGCAAGGCUAGAGUUUGGCAGAGGGGGGUAGAAUUCCACGUGUAGCAGUGAAAUGCGUAGAUAUGUGGAGGAACACCGAUGGCGAAGGCAGCCCCCUGGGUCAAAACUGACGCUCAUGCACGAAAGCGUGGGGAGAAAACCGG